RNAcentral lists this ribosomal RNA (1593 nucleotides) under Triticum aestivum (bread wheat). Its description in RNAcentral is "partial small subunit ribosomal RNA". The record is from RNAcentral. Lineage: Eukaryota; Viridiplantae; Streptophyta; Magnoliopsida; Poales; Poaceae.
AUGGAGGGGGCGGGAACAGCACUACUGUGGAGCCAGGUGGGCUCGCCGCUGGCAUCCUUCCCGGCGAUGCUGUUCACGGUGGCGGCCAUGGCGGCCGGCGCAUUCGCAGUGUACUUCUACGCGCCGUCAUGGCGCCUGCGCAGUGUGCCGGGCCCCCUCGCUUACGGCCUCGUCGGCCACCUGCCGCUGCUGGACAAGCAUGGCUCCCAGGCGUUCGGCGUCCUCGCAAAGAAAUACGGGCCCAUCUACAGGUUCUACAUGGGCAGGCAGCCGCUGGUGGUGGUCGCCGACCCGGAGCUGUGCAGGGAGGCCGGCAUCAAGAAGUUCAAGAGCAUCGUCGACAGGAGCGUGCCGGUCACCAUCGCUAGCUCGCCCAUCCACUACAAGAGCCUCCUCUUCACCAAGGGCUCGACAUGGCAGGCGAUGCGGAACGUGAUCAUCUCCAUCUACCAGCCAUCGCACCUGGCGAGCCUCAUCCCGGCCAUCCAGCCCUACAUCGAGCAGGCGGGCAACCUGUUCUGCCCCGGCGAGGAGAUCACCUUCUCUGACAUCUCCAUCAGGCUCUUCACCGACGUCAUCGGCCAGGCCGCCUUUGGCGUCGACUUCGGGCUCACCAAGGACGCCGCCGACGACGCCGAGAAGAUCAUCCACGACGCGCCCCGCGACUUCAUCCAGAAGCACCUGUACGCCACCACGUCCCUCAAGAUGGACCUGUCGGGCUCGCUGUCCAUGCUCGUCGGCACGUUCCUGCCGGCGCUCCAGAAGCCGCUGCGGCAGCUGAUGCUGCGCGUGCCGGGCUCCAUGGACCGGCGGAUGGACGAGACCAACACGGCGCUCAGCGGCGAGCUCGACACCAUCGUGGCGGAGCGGGCGGCUCAGGCGGACCGGGGCCAGAAGAACUUCCUCUCCGUGCUGCUCAACGGCAUCGACACCAGCGACGCCAUGAGGAAGCUCUUCACGCCGGACUACGUCAGCGCGCUCACGUACGAGCACUUGCUCGCGGGCUCCGGCACCAUGUCCUUCACGCUGUCGAGCCUGGUGUACCUCGUGUCGGCGCACCCGGAGGUGGAGGGGAAGCUGCUCCAGGAGAUCGACGCGUUCGGGCCCAAGGACGUGGUGCCCGACGCCGACGACCUCCGCACCAAGUUCCCCUACCUGGAGCAGGUCGUCAAGGAGACCAUGCGAUACUUUCCCGGCUCCCCGGUGGUCUCGAGGGAGGCGACCGCCGACGUCGAGAUCGGAGGCUAUUUCCUGCCCAAGGGGACGUGGGUGUGGCUGGCGACGGCGGUGCUGGGGAGGGACCCGGAGCAGUUCCCGGAGCCCGAAGCGUUCCGGCCGGAGCGCUUCGACCCGGAGAGCGAGCAGUGCAAGCGGAGACACCCCUACGCGUACAUCCCCUUCGGCAUCGGCCCGCGGGCGUGCCCGGGGCAGAAGUUCGCGUUCCAGCAGCUCAAGCUCACCGUCAUCCACCUCUACCGCCGCUACGUCUUCAGGCACUCGACCAGCAUGGAGUCCCCACUGCAGCUGCAGUUCUCCAUCGUCACCAACUUCAAGAACGGUGUCAAGCUCCAGGUCGUUCAAAGGAAGAACUAA